CUUACUUUCUCCUACCACUACCUUCAAGCCACUUGGAGCCAUCUUGCCACUUCCGUGUUGUCGUAUUUAAUUUUUUUUUCCACUGCAGUGUGUAAAUGUAUCAGCGCGGUGAUGUCACUUCCGGGGACCAGAUGAAUGAUUAGACCCAGAUAUCCAGAUUGCAGCACGUCUCAUCUUGAUCCAGGACACUGAUACAAUCACCCACCUCCAACAACUGGAAUUCCAGACCACAAUCUGGGCUAGACAUUUGCCUGUGCUGUGUAUGGUUGCUCUGAGUACUGCCAGCUGAGAGAAACCCAUUUGUGGUAUGGGGUGGAGUGUUCAUUCAUAUUCCCCACCAAUCAUUUAUCCUUUUAAACCAUGAUCAUGACAAUGAUCUCUUCUCUGCUUUGUGAGGUACUGUACCCUAUCCCUUAGAUCACAGAAGGGAUCCUGCUGAAUCAUUUUGUAGUAGGAUACUUGAAUUGCAUAAUAAUAUAUAUAUCCAACUCUUUAAAUUAGUCACUUUUAUUAAAAGCAUCAGCUAAGAGACUGAAAUUACUUUGUCACUGGUUGUUUUCAGGACACGUAUCUUCUUUCAUUACCUAUUUUGUAAGUGACCCAGUCUCAUCAAUCUGCCCUGUCCUACAUAGAGGGUGAGCCCUUCAUCUGGUUUAACGUGGUUCAGACAAAGAGAUAAGCAGGUUGUAUCCUCACACCAUCACGCUCAUUGUGUUUGGCAGCUGUCAUUCCAGGUUAGGGCAUCCAAAAGAGUAACUUGUAUCUAAAUUUCAAAGGCCUAUAUUGAUGUGGUUUCCUAUUUCACAGGAAGAUGGUUUGCAUUGCAUUGUUUUCUGAAUGGUGCAUUUAGCUAGUUAAAUAUUGUGUAUUUGCAUGCAUAUGGAGUCAAAAUACCCUUGAUACAGGCUCUGCACCACACCGUGAGCAUCCACCUAUGUGUGUCCUACCCUGAUCACUGAUAUUCCACCUUCAUCCUUUCAGCUGUAGCACCCAGUCUGCCACUCGUCAGCUGACAGUGCAGGCCAUACAAAAAUAAGCCUGAAACAAAGAGAAUAGGUGAGGUUUGCUCUGCCUCCUACAGUGUUUGCAGGAACUUAAAAAAACUCGUAGAUGGCAGUGUUCCUGAGAAUUUCUGGAUUGGACGGACAGAGAAACAAAACAGAGAUUUUACCAAGAUGGCUGCUGAGCUGGCCUGCACCAUGCCAAUAAAAUACAUAAACUUUGUAUCUGUUUUGAUCAAGCCUAUGUGCUCAUGCAGAGGAACACUGCUGCUUCACUGUGGUUUCGCCCUAUAAGCCAGCUGUUUGCAUCCCCAUCUUGAGGACCACCCAGCCAGUCUGUAAUUCUGUACUAUUACACCAGCUGCACAACAUGACUAAUGCAAGGAAGAGUGUCCAAGAUUGUUAAGAGAUUGGACAGAGUGUUUAUAAGAGCUGGCAGAUGACAUCAAGGGAAGAGAGAGAACAGCAUGUUGUACCCUAGGACACCAGAGGUGGCGCUGACCAUCUUGCUGCACUUGAACGUCUUUCUCCACUGCACUGUACCCUGCAGGGUUUUCUUCAUUGUGGAUCGCAUCACUUUAUGCGGAGUCAAAUUGCGGUUUGCAAACCCCUCCCACAUUACACGCGUUACAAAUCCGAAGAGGCAUCCAUACAUGCGAAGGCGGUUCUACGCUUCAUAUAUCAUGAGGUAUUCCCCAGGUGUAGGCCCAUGGGUGAUUCUUGGCUAUGAUUAUUCAUGAACUGAAGUCCCUCUUAAUGUCGCAGUUUAGUUUAAAGCUGCCAAUCGGCAGCCACACUUUGCAGAAGAUCCAGCUGGUGAUCCUGGGCCAAGUUGACCAAGUCAUCCCCCAGCAACUGAGCACUAUAUCUGGAGACUCCAACUCUCACUAAGCCCCAAAAUCAAUUAAGUAAUGAUACUUGAUAUCGGUGGUAUCCAGCACCACACCACAUACGGCACACUUAACAUUUAUCAUUGUUAAUAAUUUGACUGUUUGCAUCGUUAACCCAUCCGUGCUCUAGGGCUUGUAUAACUAAGCAGGAUUUCUUGCUCAGUCAGUUAACUUGUUGGAUUUAAGGUAGACUGGGCUAAAUGCAAGUGAACAAAGACGGAGUCAGUUUAAAUCUGACAAGUUAUCCGGCUAAACCAGCAAUCCAG
This is a long non-coding RNA of Paramormyrops kingsleyae, 2157 nucleotides long. RefSeq lists it as uncharacterized. The record is from RefSeq and is a predicted model, not a curated record. Lineage: Eukaryota; Metazoa; Chordata; Actinopteri; Osteoglossiformes; Mormyridae.